CUGGGAAUUUUAGAGGUAUUUUAGUUGGACUCACAGUCAAUCAGAAUAAUUUGCAUGAAACUCAAUAUGUAACUUUUAUCACAUACAAGAUAUAAAGUACUUAGUUACAGAGAAACAAUGCAUAUUCCUAGUACAUAUACAAUCACACACUUGCAUAUUCACCAGAUUAUAAACUUGACCUUCAUAAACAUAACAGACUCAUUCUUUCUUUUCCAUACCCUAGUCAAACAUUAGACUAUGUCUGUUCGUGAACUACAACUGUACCUGCUUUAUGUACACUUUAGGUAAGUGAUUAGAAAAUAUGUACCUUUAAUAGACAAUUUCCCUAUUUU
Pelobates cultripes (western spadefoot toad) is the source of this 332-nucleotide non-coding RNA. NCBI's taxonomy places the organism in Eukaryota, Metazoa, Chordata, Amphibia, Anura, Pelobatidae. The record is from the annotation of a GenBank genome assembly.